CCAAAGACGAGCGCCUUUACGCUUGCCUUUAGUACCUCGCAACGGCUGCGGACGACCAGGGCGAGCGCCAGAACGUUUUUUACCUUUAGACAUUACAUCACUCCUUCUGCACGUAAUUUUUGACGCACGUUUUCUUCUGCGUCAGUAAGAACGUCAGUGUUUCCUGCGCGUACACGCAAGGUAAACGCGAACAAUUCAGC
This 200-nucleotide ribosomal RNA is filed under the name uncultured prokaryote. Its description in RNAcentral is "partial 16S ribosomal RNA". The record is from RNAcentral.